CUGUAGUGUUUCAACCUCGCAAGCCAGGCUCUCUACUUCCGCUUCCCUCCCUAACACGCUGCAGCGGAAGUAGAGAGCCUGGCUUGCGAGGUUGGUAGUGUUU
This is a non-coding RNA of Paramuricea clavata, 103 nucleotides long. The record is from the annotation of a GenBank genome assembly. NCBI's taxonomy places the organism in Eukaryota, Metazoa, Cnidaria, Anthozoa, Malacalcyonacea, Plexauridae.